Non-coding RNA from Pelobates cultripes (western spadefoot toad), 3647 nucleotides. The record is from the annotation of a GenBank genome assembly. NCBI's taxonomy places the organism in Eukaryota, Metazoa, Chordata, Amphibia, Anura, Pelobatidae.
GAACUUCAAAAGCAAAUUCCAUAGCAUAUUGCCAUACCCGUUUGUUUUCGCCUGGACCUGCAGCAGUGUUUCAAGUCUCUGCCCUUUCUUGCAGGUAAGUGCUAUUGUGGUUUAGUAUGGUUCUUUUAGCGAACAUUAGGCAGUGUAAGACCUGCCGAAUAUGGGGUACAUUGGCGUUGUUGGCAGGCUUAUGCAAUGUAUGAUCAUAUACUGUAACUAAAUCCCCAUACUUUUCAUAUAUAGUGCUUAGUUAUUUCUCCUCUUGUUUUGCCUAUCAUAUCUUGUCUUAUUUUAGUCCAUGUACAGUCCUGUCCUGCCCCUGUUUAGUUAAUGUUCCCUUAUGUAUUGUGUACAUGUUCUGUGUUUAGCUUCCUAUCCUUCUCUGGUUCUGGGUUCUAUUAGUUCUGUCUUGUUUUCAUGUUUGGUGACUAUCCUAGCCUUGCCUUGUUUCUGUACUGGAUACAUGUCUGCUGCAGAGCCCCCCUAUCCAGUUCCUGAGAGGUCUGCAUAUCAAGCUCCUAGUUCCUGGAAUCCGUUGUAGCUGCAUCAGGGUUCUGGUAUGUGGCCGCGCAAACGCUGGUGCUCAACGCCAGAGGAUGUGUGGUUACCCUGCAGCAGGCCCUGAUAGUCCAUUACCACGCUGAAGACUCCCACUUCUCAUCAGGCAUUCAGGGGUCCCGGUUUCUGUACCGCCACCAGUGAUAAAUGGGAUCUAAAAAAAAGAAACAGUGCAAUACAAGUGCAAGAAUUCUUGGGAGCAGCAGGAUUCUGUAGGAUAUGGAUUCCUAAUUAUGCGAUAUUAGCGAAACCCUUGUAUGAAGCUGUAAAAGGCACGGAACAUGAUCCCUUCCUAUGGACCACAGAACAACAGAAGGCAUUUGAAGAUAUCAAGAAAGCACUUAUGUGUGCCCCAGCCCUAGGCCUACCAGAUCACUCGCGUCCUUUCUACCUAUAUGUUCAUGAGCAAAGAAGAAUGGUUGUGGGAGUGUUAACUCAGUACUUAGGAUCAUGGCAAAGACCUGUAGCCUACUUGUCCAAACAACUGGAUGCGGUGGCUAGUGGUCUUCCACCUUGUCUACGAGCAGUGGCUGCUGCAGCUUUGUUGGUAGCGGAAGCUGACAAACUUACAUUGGGUCAGGAAUUCUAUGUGCGAGCACCUCAUGCAGUACAGACCCUACUGGAUUACAAAGGUAAUCAUUGGUUCAGCAAUAGCAGAAUGACCAAGUAUCAGGCUAUGCUAUGCGAGAAUCCAAGAGUACAUCUUGAGACUGUCAACAAUCUCAAUCCAGCUACCCUUCUGCCACAGAUUGCUGAAAGUCAACAUUACUGUCUGGAAAUAAUGGAUGAAGUAUUUUCUAGCAGGCCAGAUCUCCAUGAUUUUACCACCCAGAACCCAGAUAUACAGUACUAUACGGAUGGUAGUAGCUUUGUGAAAGAAGGUAUUCGGUAUGCAGGGUAUGUGGUAACCACCAUAGACAAGAUGAUAGAAGCACGACCAUUGUCGAAAGGGACAUUAGCACAGAAGUCGGAAUUAAUUGGACUGACAAGGGCCUUGCAACUAGCUGAGGGGUUGAGAGUGAACAUCUAUAUGGAUUCAAGAUAUGCCUUCUUAACAACUCAUGCCCAUGGAGCAUUGUAUAAAGAAGGAGCUGUAAAGGUGGCAGAGGUGACACCUUGGAUUCAUCACUCUAGGUUUAAACCAGUGGCAGAUUCCUGGCAAGCUACUCCAGAUCGUGAGAGAUCCGGUUGAAGCGCAUGUCCUAGUCGAAUUGAGCGUGAUUUGAGAAGUAAGAGGUGAUUUUUGAAGAAUCGUCGUUGAAAUUUGCAGAGAUCAACAAGUAGGUGUUUUGACAGCCAUAAUAAAGCCUGCCUACGUUUCAUAGUCAGAGUAUCUCAAAGGGACCUCUGUGAAGGUAAGUGAGGAUCAGAAGUACUACAAUCUUUGCAGCCCUCACAAGCGGGAAGCUGAGGUGCCGUCGCACGGUCGAAGAAUUAAGAUGAGGAUCACAAGAAUAAUGUGUUUAAUUAUGUGCUUUAGUAUUUUUAUGAUUUUUCUGGAGGGUAAAGGUAAGGAUAUUCCAAGCUGUGUUAGUUGUAUUAAAACUACGAAAACAGGCAAACAGAUAUCCCAGACCCUAAUUUGGCACUCACAAUAUGAAUCUAAGGGAUCUGUGUCUAGGUGUAGGUACUUAGAUACUGAUUAUAGUGUGUGUCAUCCGAUAUCAGGUGAGCCUAAGUGUUUCAAUCCCCAAUUCCAACCCCGUACAAUUUGGUUGGUAAUUUGAAAUAGUAACUCUAGACUUUGAUAUGCACCAUACAUUCUACGGGUAUUCUAUUAUUUGAUGCAUGUAAGGUGAUUUUGGGUAGUGGAAAACCUUGGAAUGUAUGUGGUAAUAUUAAAUGGGAACGAACUUAUGGGUUCAACAACAAAUAUUUAUGCCCUAGUAAAAGAUCUACUGAUCCGGACUGCCCAAAUAGAGACUUUAACUGCUGCCCAUAUUGGUCAUGUGUAGGGUGAGCGAAAGAUAGUAGAUCAAGACAUGAUUAUCCAAAGGUUGCCCACUACACCGUAUUGUAAAACCAUGAAAUGUAAUCCCUUACAUAUGACCAUUUCCAAUCCACAGCAAUUUAUUGAUACGUUUGGGAGUCUUUUUGAGUUUCAGAUACAUGGUACAGGAACAGAUCCGGGAGCCAUAUUAUAUGUAGAUAUUGAAACCGAGACAACAGCUGCUCAGACUCAUUAGGUUCUCCAUUCCUUUUAUGAGGAGAUGAGUGUUGAGGAUAAAAUUCCCCAUAAUGUUAAGAACCUAUUUAUUGAUUUGGCUGAGAGUAUUGCAGGUAGUCUUAAUGUAACUAACUGCUUUGUAUGUGCAGGUACUAAUAAUGGAGACCAAUGGCCAUGGGAGACAAAAGAGAUUUGGUACCCUGGUUAUGAGACAGAUGAACAACAGAUGCCUGCUCAGUCCGUGUCAGGAUUAUAGAAUGAUCCAGCACGUAGAACUGUGUAACACAGAGGACUGAUAGGUAACGCAUACUGUCAGGAUAUUUAUAUCGGCAGACAUUUUGUGCUAAGAAAGAAAUUAAAAGUAUAUAUUGCCAGAGUCACUCAGAACAGAGCAGACUCCAUUUUGCUAUCUUCAGGAUAACAAAGACACAUAAUUUACUUGCUUUCACUAACCACUGAGCCUGAGCUAAGGAAUGCAUUAUAUAAACACAGACACUAGUGACAGAGAAGACUAAGUAAUUAAUUUUACUUUCUAAAUCUUACAAGGUCCCAUUGUAAGUAAGGGGUGAAAUUGAGUUUAGAACUGUCAAUUUUAGAAAUUACGAUCAACAUAGUUGCCACAAAGACUGAGACAAACGCUUUGAACUGACAGCAAAUGUAAGUUAUGGUAGUCAUUUUAGAUAAGCCAAAUGACGUCAAAAUCGUCAUCAGGAAAAGUUAACUCUUUCCUGGAUAGGAAGGUUUAGUAAGGCGAGACUGCCCUCUAUGGACCAAAUACCUAAAUUGCGAUCCAUAGAUUGAACACACCUUCAGUCUCCUAUUGGCCUUAUUAACUAAUGACGUACAGAGAGUCUGGCCCUUUAAAAGUUAGGACAAAGGGAAGAGAGAAGUUAGUUGGUGGAGUUUGGGCAUUCAGAUUCGG